RNAcentral lists this ribosomal RNA (513 nucleotides) under uncultured bacterium. RNAcentral's name for it is "partial 16S ribosomal RNA". It matches the Rfam family "Bacterial small subunit ribosomal RNA", at positions 28 to 523 of the family's 1533-position model. The record is from RNAcentral.
GACGAACGCUGGCGGCAUGCCUAAUACAUGCAAGUCGAGCGAGCGGAUGAAGUGCUUGCACUUCUGACGUUAGCGGCGAACGGGUGAGUAACACGUAAGGAAUCUACCUAUAAGCGGGGGAUAACAUUCGGAAACGGGUGCUAAUACCGCAUAAGAUCUUCUUCCGCAUGGAAGAAGAUCGAAAGACGGCUCUGCUGUCACUUAUAGAUGACCUUGCGGUGCAUUAGUUAGUUGGUGGGGUAACGGCCUACCAAGACGAGGAUGCAUAGCCGACCUGAGAGGGUGAUCGGCCACAUUGGGACUGAGACACGGCCCAAACUCCUACGGGAGGCAGCAGUAGGGAAUCUUCCGCAAUGGGCGAAAGCCUGACGGAGCAAUGCCGCGUGAGUGAAGAAGGCCUUCGGGUCGUAAAACUCUGUUAUAAGAGAAGAACAAAUUGUAGAGUAACUGCUACAGUCUUGACGGUAUCUUAUCAGAAAGCCACGGCUAACUACGUGCCAGCCGCCGCAGUAA